This 228-nucleotide small RNA is filed under the name Histoplasma capsulatum var. duboisii H88. Its description in RNAcentral is "Histoplasma capsulatum H88 hypothetical RNA". Lineage: Eukaryota; Fungi; Ascomycota; Eurotiomycetes; Onygenales; Ajellomycetaceae. The record is from RNAcentral.
AUCUAUAUAAGGACAUGUUGGCACACGGGCAUCAAGUUGCGCUUCAUUCAUGGUCGCAUCCUCCGAUAGAAGAACUUAAAACUGAUGCAGAAAUCGAUGAGGAUAUUAUUAAGAACAUCCAGAUAGUAAGAGAGCAGCUGGGAUUCGAAAGUCGAUACUUCCGUCCGCCAUAUGGCAUCCUUGGAGCACGCACUCGCCAGCGACUCGCUAGGCUCAUCAAAGACCCUC